Molecule: ribosomal RNA, 510 nt
Filed under: Trubatsa sp. n. DZ-2022
Lineage: Eukaryota; Metazoa; Mollusca; Gastropoda; Neogastropoda; Muricidae
Description: partial 16S ribosomal RNA
Rfam family: Bacterial large subunit ribosomal RNA
Source: RNAcentral
GGCUCCCUGUAGUUUAUAGAUAGGGAGUCGGACCUGCCCGGUGAAUUUUUUAACGGCCGCGGUACUUUGACCGUGCAAAGGUAGCAUAAUCAUUUGCCUUAUAAUUGAAGGCUUGUAUGAAUGGUUUGACAAGAGAGUAACUGUCUCUUUAUAAUUAAAUGGAAUUUUAUUUUCAGGUGAAAAAGCCUGAGUGAUAUUGAAAGACAAGAAGACCCUAUCGAGCUUUAAAAAAUUAAUAAACUUUAAAUAUUUUAAUACUGUAUGAGAAGUUGUUUAUUAAAAAUUUUGGUUGGGGCGACUGAGGAACAAAUAAAGCUUCCUUUAUUCUAGGAGACAAACAGGUAUUGACCCAAAAAAUUUGGUUAAAGGACUUAGUUACCGUAGGGAUAACAGCAUAAUCUUUUUUGAGAGUUCUAAUCGAAAAAAAGGUUUGUGACCUCGAUGUUGGACCAGAAUAUCCUGAAGAUGCAGUCGUCUUCAAGGGUUGGUCUGUUCGACCAUUAAAAUUCU